UGCUAGAGUCACACUCGAGAGCCUAACUUUUUUUCUAUACGUGACAUCUCUUUCUUGGACUUCUAUACGUGUGGAGCAAAUCCACAUUAUUUCGACCGACGGAAGAUCUCGCUACCGGGUGAGGGAAGAAGUACCGAGAGGUUCACUCUUUUCGCAUGACUUUCUUUCCUCGACAAUAACGAAGAAAGUAGUCACAAAGGACUCUAAGCCUUAGAACAAAAAGAUCAAUUCGCGUCCUCUGAUAAGAAUCUCUCAGAUUCUGUUCUUGAAUCUUCCUCGGCCGUAGCCUAGGAUUAAGAGCGACAUCCUCGAUGUCAAACCCCUGGAGGCACUCUACUCUCCAAUAGAUGUUUCCUCACCUAGUCCCGGAGACCUAACCUCAAGGCUUAGAAAGAAUAAAGAUCGGGGAACCUGCUAGCGCAGAGAAUCAAUGCGCCAAAGCUAUCGGCGCUGACCGCGUCCAUCUUAUCUUCUACGGGGUAGGUAGAGAGGCUUUUGCUACAGCCGAUGGUCUUCGCCUUCGGUGACUUCUCCUGGAGGAUGGUCAAGUAAAAGUAGCCGCUCAACACUCACGAGGGAGAUAGCCUACGCUAAUCACGCACCUCCAAAGAGGCAUCGAGACUGACCCGUUGAUGAAGCCCGGAAUAAAGAGACUUCUCACUCCUGUUAGUGAGAGAGUGGUCACAGUUCGGCACCUCGGGGGCUUCUCUGAAAGAGAGGGUAAGGAUUAAGGCUAGGUUAGGUCUACUCCACAAGAGCAAUCAGAAAUAAAGGACAGAGAGUCCCCUGUGAAGAUUUAUAGGCCAGGGUAAAGAUAGAUCGAAAUUCGCGCUCGGGUGUGAAUUGGUAGCUCACAAUCUAUGAAUUCACAUCGCCAGAAGGCUUAUAAAGGAUAGACAAUUCCUUGGGUGACCGGGGGGCUCUCGAUAAGAGCACAACCUUUCGCCUCGACGAGGCUAGGCCAGAGUGGAAGCUCUCCGGAUAAAGUGCUGACCGCAAUCAGGGAGUUCCUACGCUUAACCAGAUUAUUAGUCUUGGAAAAACUCCUCGUCUGCACCUCCCAUAGAUAAUGCGACAUCGGUCGAGGUCGGUGGGAACAAUCAAUUUCCUUGCACAGUGACUCAUACAUGCUUUAUUUAAUUGUAAAUUUGGCGUCCGGGCUGCCCAGUUGGACUAUGUCAGACAAGUCCUGAGAGUCCGGUGUUCCGGGUUGUGCACAAGAGGGCUGGGGAUCAUUCUCAACAAUCGGCGGCUCUUGGAGAAGGGGCACCCGACUCACUCAUAACCUCAUUAGCAGGAUCGAUUUGUUGACGUUUUGCAGCAGGCUCGCAUGAGGGACCGUCUGACCUUGCUCGUUUCCUGAACAAUGCCCGACGGCAAACACAAUAAAAGGAUAAGGAUAAGGCAAGACAACAGACCAGAGCAGUAGACCCGGCAUAACAAAGAAGGUUUUCCAUUAUUUAACUAGUUUAAACUAGGUACGACCAGCGCGGUUGUUCAUCUUUCAUUUUAUUAUUCCAAACCAAGGGAAUUCUGUGGGGACCUCCCUGGAAAUAGCAAUCCCCAAAAGGGGUUGUUCUUUCCUCGGGUAUGUAGUGGGAGAAGGAGACGUCCUUCGUUAUUACCACCAAUCAUAUCCCGAUUGGUCGAUGAGCUAUAUUAAUAACUCAUUGAUCAUAGGGUGGUUGAGCCAUGUGACUGAGGAAAAUAGUAGGAAACCUUGUUUCUUGCCCACAGUUGGGUUAUUGAGGUUCUCUCAAUCUUAGACUGAUUGAACUUCUGACCAAGAAUGUCCAUCGUCAAUCUGAGAGAAGGAAGAAAUUCCUUUGAUCUAUUCGGUGCUGGACUGUUGGCUAAUGAGAUCCCAUAUUUGCCUAAAAGGGCUUGUAUGGUAUCAAAUUGUCCGACAAUUCUUUGGUUCUCGAUACUUCUUUGUUGGAGGUAUGAGAUAUCCUUCUUUGGUCAGCCGAUUAGGUUACUAUAGAUCUUGGUUACUCUUUCCGUUGUCCUACUACUACAUAGUGUGGUUGGACUGCGAGUUUGAAUCCCGCAGAGUGACCUUCCCUUUAUGAUCACACCUUGCUUGGUGAUGAUAUCCUAAUCACCAAUAAGCAAGUGGCUCUUUCAGUACAGAAAAGUUACUGGAUAGACUCAGCGUUUGGACUUCUGAUUCAAAGUCACACAUCAGAAUAAGAAUGCUGGGUUUGCCAAAGGGAUGUUGGGGUAAAAUCCCAUCAUAUCACUGAGGCGAAUACUGUCCUGUAGGACAGCCUUUAAUCUGUGCCCUUUAACUGAUGAAUACCUGAUCGUAAUAGGUAUUUAGGAGUUAGUAGGGCUAGGAUUAAAGUCUUGUUCUCAUCUUCUCUCCAACCAUUUGGUAGGAUUGAGGAUGACUGUUAGUAAGCUUAACCGGUCACGUCCACUACCUUCAUAUAUUUGAUUGGAAGGAAAAAAAACCUCAAUCUGUGUUUGAAGGGAAAGAUAGUGGAUUUCUCCGAAGGAUAAAACCCAAGGAGAUACAUCUCUUUCUGUAGAGAUGGUGUUUAAUAGGGAUGGGCAUCAUUGGUCCCACUGUAACCCGUAAUGGGUGAGUAGUUCCAUAUGAUGUUUAGUACUAUACGGUUGUGUGCUCAAUCAAAGGUAUCUAUUAUCAUUUGAUGGAUGUGCCGUAUAUAGCACACUUGAAGGGUCCAACAAAGAUCUUGGUUUGAUCAAGUUCGGGCCUGAUCGAGACGUGUUAUAAUGUGGAAUCAGUGUGGGAUUGACGAUUACACCAAGGUACUCGGAAAUCUCUCACUGUCAUCCUCUUUGAUAAUGCAUAUUUGAAGGUUAUUCAAGAGGCAUCAGUAGACUUACCAUCUUCGGGUGAAAAGACGUAGUCUAUAAAGGAGCACCGGGGGCUCUCGAUAAGAGCACAACCUUUCGCCUCGACGAGGCUAGGCCAGAGUGGAAGCUCUCCUGAUAAAGUGCUGACCGCAAUCAGGGAGUUCCUACGCUUAACCAGAUUAUUAGUCUUGGAAAAACUCCUCGUCUGCACCUCCCAUAGAUAAUGCGACAUCGGUCGAGGUCGGUGGGAACAAUCAAUUUCCUUGCACAGUGACUCAUACAUGCUUUAUUUAAUUGUAAAUUUGGCGUCCGGGCUGCCCAAUUGGACUAUGUCAGACAAGUCCUGAGAGUCCGGUGUUCCGGGUUGUGCACAAGAGGG
RNAcentral lists this long non-coding RNA (3205 nucleotides) under Capsicum annuum. RNAcentral describes it as "long non-coding RNA (CANN_LNC009634)". Lineage: Eukaryota; Viridiplantae; Streptophyta; Magnoliopsida; Solanales; Solanaceae. The record is from RNAcentral.